CCGUAGUAUGGUGAUUCAUAGUAACUGAUCGAAUCGCAUGGCUUUAAGCUGGCGAUGGUUCAUUCGAAUUUCUGCCCUAUCAACUUUCGAUGGUAGGAUAGGGGCCUACCAUGGUUUUAACGGGUAACGGAGAAUUAGGGUUCGAUUCCGGAGAGGGAGCUUUGAGAGAUGGCUACCACAGCUAAGGCAGGCAGCAGGCGCGCAAAUUACCCAAUCCUGACACGGGGAGGUAGUGACAAUAAAUAACAAGACAGAGCUCUAUGAGUUUUGUCAUUGGAAUGAGAACAAUUUAAAUCUCUUAACGAGGAACAAUUGGAGGGCAAGUCUGGUGCCAGCAGCCGCGGUAAUUCCAGCUCCAAUAGCGUAUAUUAAAGUUGUUGCAGUUAAAAAGCUCGUAGUCGAAUUUUGGGUUUGGCUGGGUGGUCGACCGCGAGGUUAGCACUGCUCUGGUUGAGCUCGAAUUGCUUGGGGAAUCUUUGUGCUCUUAGUUGAGUGCAUAGGGGAACCAGGACUUUUACUGUGAAGAAAUUAGAGUGUUUAAAGCGGGCAUAAGCUUGAAUACAUUAGCAUGGAAUAAUAGAAUAGGACUUCUGUCUUAUUUUGUUGGUUUCUAGGAUGGAAGUAAUGAUUAAUAGGGAUAGUUGGGGGCAUUAGUAUUUAAUUGUCAGAGGUGAAAUUCUUGGAUUUAUGAAAGACUAACUUCUGCGAAAGCAUUUGCCAAGGAUGUUUUCAUUGAUCAAGAACGAAAGUUAGGGGAUCGAAGACGAUCAGAUACC
RNAcentral lists this ribosomal RNA (776 nucleotides) under uncultured eukaryote. RNAcentral describes it as "SSU rRNA". It matches the Rfam family "Eukaryotic small subunit ribosomal RNA", at positions 236 to 1016 of the family's 1831-position model. The record is from RNAcentral.